AAUCAGUUAGUCACUGAUUUGCUGAAUAUGGAUGAGACAUUCAAAGAUGAAAAUUUGGCUUUGAUGCUGUUGGGGUCACUUCCUGAGGAGUUUGAGUUCCUAGAAACUACUCUACUUCAUGGCAUGAGUGAUAUAUCUCUGAGCGAAGUCUGUGCGGCCUUAUACAGUUAUGAACAGAGAAAGAAGGACAAACAGAAAAAC
This 201-nucleotide long non-coding RNA is filed under the name Gossypium barbadense (sea-island cotton). RNAcentral's name for it is "long non-coding RNA (GBAR_LNC019590)". Lineage: Eukaryota; Viridiplantae; Streptophyta; Magnoliopsida; Malvales; Malvaceae. The record is from RNAcentral.